This is a non-coding RNA of Pelobates cultripes (western spadefoot toad), 229 nucleotides long. NCBI's taxonomy places the organism in Eukaryota, Metazoa, Chordata, Amphibia, Anura, Pelobatidae. The record is from the annotation of a GenBank genome assembly.
GACAGGUUUUGCAUUAUUCUUUGAAUGGCUGGAAUGCUACAGUGAGGACUUUGUUUCAGUGCCAUAAAAUAGUUAAGUUUAAAGAAACUCUCCAAGCACCAUAAUCACUACAGCUGAAUGUAAUGAUUAUGAUGCCGGGAGUGCCCCAGUGCCCUCCCAGAGUAGGUAAUCAGACCAUUUAAAAACCACCUCACCUGUUGCUGGAUGAUCUGUCACUGAGUGAAGCAUG